This 253-nucleotide ribosomal RNA is filed under the name uncultured bacterium. Its description in RNAcentral is "partial 16S ribosomal RNA". It matches the Rfam family "Bacterial small subunit ribosomal RNA", at positions 524 to 776 of the family's 1533-position model. The record is from RNAcentral.
GACAGAGGCCUCGAGCGUUAGGCGGAAUCACUGGGCUUAAAGCGUGUGUAGGCGGAUCGUUAAGUGUCUUGUGAAAUCCCACGGCUCAACCGUGGAACGGCUGGGCAUACUGGCGAUCUUGAGCAGCCUAGGGGCGACCGGAACAAACGGUGGAGCGGUGAAAUGCGUAGAUAUAGGAAGGAAUACCAGUGGCGAAGGCGGCCUCCUGGAUCAACACUGACGCUGAGGUGCGAAAGCGUGGGGAGCAAACAGG